This 558-nucleotide ribosomal RNA is filed under the name uncultured bacterium. Its description in RNAcentral is "bacterial SSU rRNA". It matches the Rfam family "Bacterial small subunit ribosomal RNA", at positions 27 to 580 of the family's 1533-position model. The record is from RNAcentral.
GAUUGAACGCUGGCGGCAUGCCUUACACAUGCAAGUCGAACGGCAGCACGGGAGCAAUCCUGGUGGCGAGUGGCGAACGGGUGAGUAAUACAUCGGAACGUGCCCAGUCGUGGGGGAUAACUACUCGAAAGAGUAGCUAAUACCGCAUACGACCUGAGGGUGAAAGCGGGGGAUCGCAAGACCUCGCGCGAUUGGAGCGGCCGAUGUCAGAUUAGCUAGUUGGUGGGGUAAAGGCCUACCAAGGCUACGAUCUGUAGUUGGUCUGAGAGGACGACCAGCCACACUGGGACUGAGACACGGCCCAGACUCCUACGGGAGGCAGCAGUGGGGAAUUUUGGACAAUGGGCGCAAGCCUGAUCCAGCAAUGCCGCGUGCAGGAAGAAGGCCUUCGGGUUGUAAACUGCUUUUGUCAGGGAAGAAAUCCUCUGGGUUAAUACCUCGGGGGGAUGACGGUACCUGAAGAAUAAGCACCGGCUAACUACGUGCCAGCAGCCGCGGUAAUACGUAGGGUGCGAGCGUUAAUCGGAAUUACUGGGCGUAAAGUGUGCGCAGGCGGCU